Brienomyrus brachyistius is the source of this 1072-nucleotide long non-coding RNA. RefSeq lists it as uncharacterized. The record is from RefSeq and is a predicted model, not a curated record. NCBI's taxonomy places the organism in Eukaryota, Metazoa, Chordata, Actinopteri, Osteoglossiformes, Mormyridae. The transcript has 4 exons.
GCAAAUAGGAAAAUGAAUCAUUAUAUGUUGAAAAAAUUAACGAUAUAUUUGAUGCAGUACCCAGUCUUAUACGUAUAACCUAAAACGCGGAAGAAAUGUCCGACUAACCUCUACUGUAAUCAGCCUACGGGACGUUUUUUCCGAUGUAAUCGUCAUUCUCCUGUUUCACAAGUUUUCAUCGGCCAGCACCUACAGUCCGUUAUCUUGGUGCCACUUCCCUGAGGUACAGCUGGGUGACGCGCUGCUUUGGAGGGACUCUUUCAGAAGAUAUGCCAAUUUGGAGAGUGAGCACAGGAAUUUACCCAUAAAAAUACGUGGACUGAAGCUACCAGGGCAGAAGUGGCUGCUGAAUCAUCCUCUUCAGCUGAAGGGAUGUAUGCUGUAUUCCCUCCAUAUAGACUGGGAGUGACAGUGUGAUGAGCAGAUUUUUGAUGGGGGAAUAGUGAUUUUUUUAUUUUUAAAACCUGCAAAGAUACAGAUUAAUAGCGUGCAAAAUGACACGCUACAUUUCACUUUAUUUUGGUAGUAAUCAAGGCUCGUUUUUAAUUGCUAAUGUCAAUGUCAAGAGAAAGUAUUCAAGACUCCGGCCAGAACAAAUCAACAGCAUUAAGGACUCACCGCCAAUAGAGGUGUUCCCUGUGCUCGCAGUCACAUCCCUGUGAAUCUACUGCUUUAACACCAUUCUUAUGAUGUGUGGCUCAGCAUAGUUCGGCAACGCUGCCAAAUUGCAUCUUAUUUAUAUCUCGCAAGUAUACCAGUGCAGAGAAAAGUCAAGAUGCGAUAAUUCUGAGGUUGUGGAAGAGGAUGGGAUAAAAUUGCUACUUAUUAUUUUUUUUUCCUGCAUUCAUAUACAGUAAAAUAUAAGUUUUCAUGCCCCUGGGCUGUGAGGUUAAACCAGAUUUUUCCAUUAAGCAUCCAGUUGUUCUAGAAGGUAAAAGGAUCUGCUGAGCCAAUAAAUGCGAGAUAAACAGUAUCAUUCUCGCAUUCCUAUAAGGAAUAUAGGGUUGGGUCAGACCACUGAGUGUUUUCACAUGCAAGAAAAAAACAACAACAACUUUAACGAUUGUGUUCU